GACGAACGCUGGCGGCGUGCUUAACACAUGCAAGUCGAACGGAAAGGCCCUGCUUUUGUGGGGUGCUCGAGUGGCGAACGGGUGAGUAACACGUGAGUAACCUGCCCUUGACUUUGGGAUAACUUCAGGAAACUGGGGCUAAUACAGGAUAGGAGCUCCUGCUGCAUGGUGGGGGUUGGAAAGUUUCGGCGGUUGGGGAUGGACUCGCGGCUUAUCAGCUUGUUGGUGGGGUAGUGGCUUACCAAGGCUUUGACGGGUAGCCGGCCUGAGAGGGUGACCGGCCACAUUGGGACCGAGAUACGGCCCAGACUCCUACGGGAGGCAGCAGUGGGGAAUAUUGCACAAUGGGCGGAAGCCCGAUGCAGCAACGCCGCGUGCGGGAUGACGGCCUUCGGGUUGUAAACCGCUUUCGCCUGUGACGAAGCGUGAGUGACGGUAAUGGGUAAAGAAGCACCGGCUAACUACGUGCCAGCAGCCGCGGUGAUACGUAGGGUGCGAGCGUUGUCCGGGUUUAUUGGGCGUAAAGGGCUCGUAGGUGGUUGAUCGCGUCGGAAGUGUAAUCUUGGGGCUUAACCCUGAGCGUGCUUUCGAUACGGGUUGACUUGAGGAAGGUAGGGGAGAAUGGAAUUCCUGGUGGAGCGGUGGAAUGCGCAGAUAUCAGGAGGAACACCAGUGGCGAAGGCGGUUCUCUGGGCCUUUCCUGACGCUGAGGAGCGAAAGCGUGGGGAGCGAACAGGCUUAGAUACCCUGGUAGUCCACGCUGUAAACGGUGGGUACUAGGUGUGGGGUCCAUUCCACGGGUUCCGUGCCGUAGCUAACGCUUUAAGUACCCCGCCUGGGGAGUACGGCCGCAAGGCUAAAACUCAAAGGAAUUGACGGGGCCCCGCACAAGCGGCGGAGCAUGCGGAUUAAUUCGAUGCAACGCGUAGAACCUUACCUGGGUUUGACAUGGAUCGGGAGUGCUCAGAGAUGGGUGUGCCUCUUUUGGGGUCGGUUCACAGGUGGUGCAUGGCUGUCGUCAGCUCGUGUCGUGAGAUGUUGGGUUAAGUCCCGCAACGAGCGCAACCCUUGUUCACUGUUGCCAGCACGUUAUGGUGGGGACUCAGUGGAGACCGCCGGGGUCAACUCGGAGGAAGGUGGGGAUGACGUCAAGUCAUCAUGCCCCUUAUGUCCAGGGCUUCACGCAUGCUACAAUGGCUGGUACAGAGAGUGGCGAGCCUGUGAGGGUGAGCGAAUCUCGGAAAGCCGGUCUCAGUUCGGAUUGGGGUCUGCAACUCGACCUCAUGAAGUCGGAGUCGCUAGUAAUCGCAGAUCAGCAACGCUGCGGUGAAUACGUUCCCGGG
Molecule: ribosomal RNA, 1343 nt
Filed under: uncultured bacterium
Lineage: Bacteria
Description: 16S ribosomal RNA
Rfam family: Bacterial small subunit ribosomal RNA
Source: RNAcentral